GUGGGGAAUAUUGGACAAUGGGGGCAACCCUGAUCCAGCAAUGCCGCGUGUGUGAAGAAGGCCUGAGGGUUGUAAAGCACUUUUGUUAGGGAGGAGGGUUGAUUGGUUAAGAGCUGAUUAGCUGGACGUUACCUAAAGAAAAAGCACCGGCUAACUCCGUGCCAGCAGCCGCGGUAAUACGGAGGGUGCGAGCGUUAAUCGGAAUUACUGGGCGUAAAGGGUGCGUAGGUGGUUUAAUAAGUUAGCUGUGAAAGGGCUGGGCUUAACCUGGCAAGGUCAUCUAAGACUGUUGAACUUGAGUAUAGGAGAGGGUAGUGGAAUUUCCGGUGUAGCGGUGAAAUGCGUAGAGAUCGGAAGGAACAUCGGUGGCGAAGGCGGCUACCUGGCCUAAUACUGACACUGAGGCACGAAAGCGUGGGGAGCAAACAGGAUUAGAUACCCUUGUAGUCC
Molecule: ribosomal RNA, 450 nt
Filed under: uncultured bacterium
Lineage: Bacteria
Description: bacterial SSU rRNA
Rfam family: Bacterial small subunit ribosomal RNA
Source: RNAcentral